UACGUAGGGUGCAAGCGUUGUCCGGAAUUAUUGGGCGUAAAGAGCUCGUAGGCGGGUUGUCACGUCUGCUGUGAAAACUCGGGGCUUAACUCCGGGCCUGCAGUGGGUACGGGCAGACUAGAGUGCGGUAGGGGAGACUGGAAUUCCUGGUGUAGCGGUGAAAUGCGCAGAUAUCAGGAGGAACACCGGUGGCGAAGGCGGGUCUCUGGGCCGUAACUGACGCUGAGGAGCGAAAGCGUGGGGAGCAAACAGG
RNAcentral lists this ribosomal RNA (253 nucleotides) under uncultured bacterium. RNAcentral's name for it is "partial 16S ribosomal RNA". It matches the Rfam family "Bacterial small subunit ribosomal RNA", at positions 524 to 776 of the family's 1533-position model. The record is from RNAcentral.